Molecule: non-coding RNA, 171 nt
Filed under: Pseudomonas borbori
Lineage: Bacteria; Pseudomonadati; Pseudomonadota; Gammaproteobacteria; Pseudomonadales; Pseudomonadaceae
Source: RNAcentral
UCGUGGGUGACUGCGAAUCUGAAGGAAGCCGAAGGCAAAAUGUUGGCCUGACGAACAGGAAGCGGAUAGAGGCGGCGCAGCGGGGUAAGAAGGCCAGUAUCUUCAAAGCCCGAUACUUGCACGGAACGCUGCGACGUAGAUCCGACAGGCAUAAGCAGGAAGGUCGCGCGA